AUUGUGACUCCAGACCAUUACCUGGCACCGGGUCUGAUUUCUGGCAUUCCUAUCAGAGCCUGAGUCACAGACAGUACCUUAGACUCUAAGCUUAGGCACCUUGUGCCUUGUUUUUGUGGCUAAGGAUUCUCAGAGUUGUAGGAUGCUGACAAAGUUUAUCCCAAAGGCUCUGAUUGUACUUUCUCCACAAGCUUCAGCAUGGCAGUAUCUCUCACCACUUGUUUUGGUCCAAGGGCAGAAAUGAGCAUCCUGGAAACCAAUCAGUACUUGCUCUCUGAACUGGAAAAGUGCAAAGAGAACUUCCGAGACCUCACAGAGAAAUUCCUGACAUCCAAAGCUACUGCCUACUCCCUGGCCAAUCACCUGCAGAAAUAUAAGUGUGAAGAGUGCAAAGACCUUAUAGAAUCUGUGCUGGAGGAGGAGCUGCAGUUUCAGGAGAGGGAGCUGACCAAAUUGCCAAGGCCAGCAGCAAGGCUCCGGAUACAUGAUCCCUUAAUUCAGGCUCAGGCUGAAGAACUGACCCACUUACGACAGAAGAUACAAGAAGGGAGAGGUGUCUGCUACCUUUUCACCCAGCAUGUGAAGAACACAGUCAAGUCUUUUGAGGGCCUUCUCAGGAACACUGGCAUUGCCUACUACCAGAGACAGAGAUUCUGUGAGCAAAUGGUACAAGGAAGCCAGCUAACAGAGAUCCUUGUCAGAAAACUUGCCACAGAAUCAACCCCAAUGCUCACUAACAAACUGAGAAGAAAAAAAAAGAAUUACCCCCAACAACAUCUGAGGAAGUAGAACAGGGACAGACUUGAAGGCACCUGGGCAGUCCUCUGGUUUUGGAGUAGAGGUAGGACAGGGCUAUUUGUCCUCUCAGAGACUGGAGCAGGUUCUGUGUGUGAGUAGCAAUGGGACAAACAGUCGUGGUCUGGCAACCAGCCUGUAGCAGGAAGGAAGGUUACAACGGGAGAAGUCCAAAGGGCAGCCAGGCAAGUAUUCUUUGAGCUGGGGAACAAAAGGCAUUUUAAACUUUUUGCUCUGCUUCAGGCAGCUGACGUCUGGUGAUGAUUCACCAUAUCAGGAACACCCUGUCCAGUGGGCUCAGGCAAGCCUGCCAGGCCACUUCUCUAAAGACACAACCUGAGGCCUCCUGCAAUAAUUCUCACAGAGCAUUCUGAACAUACAUAAAAUCACAAUGGUAAGAAAAUGAAGACAGGCAAAAGCCACUGGCUCCCAGGUAACUCUACAUGAUGAAGGGGCUGAUAAUGGACUGACCAAAUCUAGAGAGAAUUCCAGAAGCAAGGACUCAAGAGGUUAAAGGUCCCAGAUCUAGAAAAAGCAGAAACUGCUGAUUGUUCCUUUUUUUGUUGACUGAUUAUACAAUGUGUCCUUUUAAAAAUGGUUCUCUGUUCUCUUUGCA
Homo sapiens (human) is the source of this 1411-nucleotide RNA transcript. It is a transcript of the gene named NBPF member 6 pseudogene, with no coding region annotated. NCBI's taxonomy places the organism in Eukaryota, Metazoa, Chordata, Mammalia, Primates, Hominidae. The record is from RefSeq and is marked validated. The transcript has 6 exons.